CAGCAGCCGCGGUAAUACAGAGGGUGCAAGCGUUAAUCGGAAUUACUGGGCGUAAAGCGCGCGUAGGUGGUUUGUUAAGUUGGAUGUGAAAUCCCCGGGCUCAACCUGGGAACUGCAUCCAAAACUGGCAAGCUAGAGUAUGGUAGAGGGUGGUGGAAUUUCCUGUGUAGCGGUGAAAUGCGUAGUUAUAGGAAGGAACACCAGUGGCGAAGGCGACCACCUGGACUGAUACUGACACUGAGGUGCGAAAGCGUGGGGAGCAAACAGGAUUAGAUACCCGAGUAGUCCCUGUCUCUUAUAC
This 301-nucleotide ribosomal RNA is filed under the name uncultured bacterium. RNAcentral describes it as "partial 16S ribosomal RNA". It matches the Rfam family "Bacterial small subunit ribosomal RNA", at positions 509 to 807 of the family's 1533-position model. The record is from RNAcentral.